RNAcentral lists this ribosomal RNA (497 nucleotides) under uncultured bacterium. Its description in RNAcentral is "partial 16S ribosomal RNA". It matches the Rfam family "Bacterial small subunit ribosomal RNA", at positions 28 to 507 of the family's 1533-position model. The record is from RNAcentral.
GAUGAACGCUGGCGGCGUGCCUAAUACAUGCAAGUCGAGCGAACAGACGAGGAGCUUGCUCCUCUGACGUUAGCGGCGGACGGGUGAGUAAAACGUGGAUAACCUACCUAUAAGACUGGGAUAACUUCGGGAAACGGGGGCUAAUACCGGAUAAUAUAUUGAACCGCAUGGUUCAUUAGUGAAAGACGGUUUUGCGGUAACUUAUAGAUGGAUCCGCGCCGCAUUAGCUAGUUGGUAAGGUAACGGCUUACCAAGGCAACGAUGCGUAGCCGACCUGAGAGGGUGAUCGGCCACACUGGAACUGAGACACGGUCCAGACUCCUACGGGAGGCAGCAGUAGGGAAUCUUCCGCAAUGGGCGAAAGCCUGACGGAGCAACGCCGCGUGAGUGAUGAAGGUCUUCGGAUCGUAAAACUCUGUUAUUAGGGAAGAACAAAUGUGUAAGUAACUAUGCACGUCUUGACGGUACCUAAUCAGAAAGCCACGGCUAACUACGUG